RNAcentral lists this ribosomal RNA (223 nucleotides) under uncultured bacterium. RNAcentral describes it as "partial 16S ribosomal RNA". It matches the Rfam family "Bacterial small subunit ribosomal RNA", at positions 111 to 334 of the family's 1533-position model. The record is from RNAcentral.
UAACGCGUGGGUAACCUGCCUUAUACAGGGGGAUAACAGUCAGAAAUGGCUGCUAAUACCGCAUAAGCGCACAGAGCUGCAUGGCUCAGUGCGAAAAACUCCGGUGGUAUAAGAUGGACCCGCGUUGGAUUAGCUGGUUGGUGGGGUAACGGCCCACCAAGGCGACGAUCCAUAGCCGGCCUGAGAGGGUGAACGGCCACAUUGGGACUGAGACACGGCCCAG